CCCAGACUCCUACGGGAGGCAGCAGUGGGGGAUAUUGCACAAUGGGGGGAACCCUGAUGCAGCGACGCCGCGUGGGUGAAGGAGCGUUUCGGCGCGUAAAGCCCUAUCGGCAGGGAAGAAGGAGGACGGUACCUGACUAAGAAGCCCCGGCUAACUACGUGCCAGCAGCCGCGGUAAUACGUAGGGGGCAAGCGUUAUCCGGAUUUACUGGGUGUAAAGGGGGCGCAGACGGCAGCGCAAGCCAGGGGUGAAAGCCCGGGGCCCAACCCCGGGACUGCUCUUGGAACUGCGCGGCUGGAGUGCAGGAGGGGCAGGCGGAAUUCCUGGUGUAGCGGUGAAAUGCGUAGAUAUCAGGAGGAACACCGGUGGCGAAGGCGGCCUGCUGGACUGCGACUGACGUUGAGGCCCGAAAGCGUGGGGAGCAAACAGGAUUAGAUACCCUAGUAAC
RNAcentral lists this ribosomal RNA (448 nucleotides) under uncultured bacterium. Its description in RNAcentral is "bacterial SSU rRNA". It matches the Rfam family "Bacterial small subunit ribosomal RNA", at positions 330 to 794 of the family's 1533-position model. The record is from RNAcentral.